This 306-nucleotide unclassified non-coding RNA is filed under the name plant metagenome. RNAcentral's name for it is "partial contains 5.8S ribosomal RNA, internal transcribed spacer 2, and large subunit ribosomal RNA". The stretch from base 1 to 105 matches the Rfam family "5.8S ribosomal RNA", at positions 50 to 154 of the family's 154-position model. The record is from RNAcentral.
GAAAUGCGAUAAGUAAUGUGAAUUGCAGAAUUCAGUGAAUCAUCGAAUCUUUGAACGCACAUUGCGCCCGCCAGUAUUCUGGCGGGCAUGCCUGUUCGAGCGUCAUUUCAACCAUCAAGCCCCCGGGCUUGUGUUGGGGACCUGCGGCUGCCCGCAGGCCCUGAAAACCAGUGGCGGGCUCGCUAGUCACACCGAGCGUAGUAGCAAUCACCUCGCUCAGGGCGUGCUGCGGGUUCCGGCCGUUAAGGAGCCUUACAAACCCAAGGUUGACCUCGGAUCAGGUAGGAAGACCCGCUGAACUUAAGC